UUUGGUAUUAAAUCGUAUUUUGAUCUUGUUUGCUUAUGAUUGAUAGUAUGGUGGAUGCAUAUAUGAGCAUAAUUUACACUUGCAUGAUUGAACUAAUGGACGUGGUGCUCUCGACUAAUCAUGUUAUUUUAAUUACCUCGUUAUGGGCGGAAAAACGUGACUGUGGUUAGUCUAAAGUUGGAAAAAAAAGAAUUGUUGUAUAGAUAUGAACUUAAGUGAAUGAAUAAGAACUUUGGGCUUAUCUCGUUAUCAUUGGUUGCCCCAUCACAAGUUGGAAAUGUGAUACUAUUGAUUGCCCCAUCACAUGCCAUAAAUGUGAAACUAUUGGUUGCCCCAUCAUAGGACGAAAAUGUGAUACUAUUGAUUGUCUCGUCGCAGGCUGAAAAUGUGAAACUACUGGUUGCCCCAUCACAGGCUGGAAAUGUGAUACUACCGAUUGCCCCAUCAUAAGCCGAAAAUAUGAAACUAUUGGUUGCUCCAUCACAGGCCGAAAAUAUGAUAUUAUUGGUUGCCCCGCCAUAUGNN
Molecule: long non-coding RNA, 525 nt
Filed under: Phoenix dactylifera (date palm)
Lineage: Eukaryota; Viridiplantae; Streptophyta; Magnoliopsida; Arecales; Arecaceae
Description: long non-coding RNA (PDAC_LNC006080)
Source: RNAcentral